Molecule: ribosomal RNA, 468 nt
Filed under: uncultured bacterium
Lineage: Bacteria
Description: partial 16S ribosomal RNA
Rfam family: Bacterial small subunit ribosomal RNA
Source: RNAcentral
GACGAACGCUGGCGGCGUGCUUAACACAUGCAAGUCGAACGGAAAGGCCCUGCUUUUGUGGGGUGCUCGAGUGGCGAACGGGUGAGUAACACGUGAGUAACCUGCCCUUGACUUUGGGAUAACUUCAGGAAACUGGGGCUAAUACCGGAUAGGAGCUCCUGCUGCAUGGUGGGGGUUGGAAAGUUUCGGCGGUGGGGGAUGGACUCGCGGCUUAUCAGCUUGUUGGUGGGGUAGUGGCUUACCAAGGCUUUGACGGGUAGCCGGCCUGAGAGGGUGACCGGCCACAUUGGGACUGAGAUACGGCCCAGACGCCUACGGGAGGCAGCAGUGGGGAAUAUUGCACAAUGGGCGGAAGCCUGAUGCAGCAACGCCGCGUGCGGGAUGACGGCCUUCGGGUUGUAAACCGCUUUCGCCUGUGACGAAGCGUGAGUGACGGUAAUGGGUAAAGAAGCACCGGCUAACUACGUG